Molecule: long non-coding RNA, 833 nt
Organism: Solanum tuberosum (potato)
Lineage: Eukaryota; Viridiplantae; Streptophyta; Magnoliopsida; Solanales; Solanaceae
Exons: 2
Source: RefSeq, a predicted model, not a curated record
AUAAUAAAUAUUAUAGGCAAACAAAAUUUAAAAUUAGGUCACCACUGUCCACUUUUCAGCGAUCAGCAGUGCACCGCAGCACUUCCCACUUCCCGCCGACCGCCGCGACCAGUCCAGGUUUUCUUCUCCAAACAAUCUUGGUUAAGCAAUGAUGAGUUCUCAGACCGUUAAUUCAAGUGAGGACAUUUUUGACUCAUCAUUGAAUCUAGAGGACAUUCAUUACAAAGAAGGCUACUCGGUAGGCUAUACGGAUGGUCUAAAUUCUGGUAAAGAUGAAGGCAAACAGGUAGGACUCAAAAAGGGGUUUGAAGUAGGCGAAGAAUUGGGUUUUUACAAAGGUUGUAUUGAUGUAUGGAAUGCUGCUAUCUUAGUAGAGCCAACCUGUUUCUCAUCCCGAGUGCAGAAAAGCAUCAAACAGAUGGAUGAAUUGCUCAAUAAAUACCCCUUCACUGACCCAGAGAACGAAUCUGCCACCGAUACUAUUGACUCCUUGAGACUGAAAUUUAGAGCUAUUUGUGCAACGCUGAAUAUUAAACCGGAGUAUGAUGGGUACCCUAAAACCUCUGGGAUCGAUAACUCCGGUUUCUAAUUGGUCUAAUCAUCAAAGGUCUGAUCAGUUACUUCCUUGUAGACUGUAUAAAUUUGCAUUAUCAACUGUCAUUACAUAGCUGUUGGUGUUGAAAAGAUUCAUGCCAGAUAUUAUAUGUAUUUGCUGGUUUUAAAUAUGUCUGCGUGUGCACGUGUCUAUAUAUAUCUAUCUAUAUAUUGUAGUUACGGAUGUGUGCAAGCUAUCCCAGACACCCCAAUUUGUGUUAAAAAGCUUUUGACAGAAA